UACGUAGGGGGCGAGCGUUGUCCGAAGUUACUGGGCGUAAAGCGCGCGUAGGCGGGUCGUUAAGUGGGAAGUGAAAGGCUGGGGCUCAACCCCAUGCAGUGCUUCUCAUACUGGCGGUCUUGAGUGAGGUAGGGAGAAGUGGGAUGGCUGGUGUAGCGGUGAAAUGCGUAGAUAUCAUUUGGAACGCCAAUGGUGAAAACAGGUAGCUGGGGCUGUGCUGACGCUGAGACACGAAAGCCAGGGGAGCGAACGGG
This 254-nucleotide ribosomal RNA is filed under the name uncultured bacterium. RNAcentral describes it as "partial 16S ribosomal RNA". It matches the Rfam family "Bacterial small subunit ribosomal RNA", at positions 524 to 776 of the family's 1533-position model. The record is from RNAcentral.